This 700-nucleotide ribosomal RNA is filed under the name uncultured beta proteobacterium. Its description in RNAcentral is "bacterial SSU rRNA". It matches the Rfam family "Bacterial small subunit ribosomal RNA", at positions 59 to 754 of the family's 1533-position model. Lineage: Bacteria; Pseudomonadati; Pseudomonadota; Betaproteobacteria. The record is from RNAcentral.
AAGUCGAACGGCAGCACGGGAGCAGUCCUGGUGGCGAGUGGCGAACGGGUGAGUAAUACAUCGGAACGUGCCUAGUAAUGGGGGAUAGCCCGGCGAAAGCCGGAUUAAUACCGCAUACGACCUACGGGUGAAAGCGGGGGAUCGCAAGACCUCGCGUUAUUGGAGCGGCCGAUGUCAGAUUAGGUUGUUGGUGGGGUAAAAGCCUACCAAGCCGACGAUCUGUAGCUGGUCUGAGAGGACGACCAGCCACACUGGGACUGAGACACGGCCCAGACUCCUACGGGAGGCAGCAGUGGGGAAUUUUGGACAAUGGGCGCAAGCCUGAUCCAGCCAUGCCGCGUGCGGGAAGAAGGCCUUCGGGUUGUAAACCGCUUUUGUCAGGGAAGAAACGGUCUGCACUAAUACUGCGGACUAAUGACGGUACCUGAAGAAUAAGCACCGGCUAACUACGUGCCAGCAGCCGCGGUAAUACGUAGGGUGCAAGCGUUAAUCGGAAUUACUGGGCGUAAAGCGCGCGCAGGCGGCUUUGCAAGACAGAUGUGAAAUCCCCGGGCUUAACCUGGGAACUGCAUUUGUGACUGCAAGGCUGGAGUGCGGCAGAGGGGGAUGGAAUUCCGCGUGUAGCAGUGAAAUGCGUAGAUAUGCGGAGGAACACCGAUGGCGAAGGCGGCCCACUGGAUCGGUACUGACGCUGAGGUGC